AAAUGAUCCGAUUUGUGACUCAAAACCGUGAUAUGAUCCCAACCGUGAGUUUUCUGAUCCGUUGCACCCCUAAUUACAACCAGCAGCACCAUCAAGCACAAUACUCAAGACCAGUUCGAAUUCGCCAAAUGAACAUCCUCGUAAUGCAAAAAUUGUAUCGUCGCCGAUAGGUAAGGAAGCAAAGACUACAAGCAACCUUGCGAGCCUUGGCAGCUCUCUGUUUCAGAAGAGACAGAUAGGGAACAUCUGGGCGUCAUGCUUGGUGGCAGCAUGUAUGUGGCAGCUGGACACAGAGAGAUUGGCUGCUUAACUUCAGAAUGAGAAGAACCACCUUCUGUCAUCUCUGUGACAGUUUUCAUUCAAGGCUGACUCGACGGGAUACAAGACACCGCUAGGCAGUGGGGUUGUGUGUGGUAAUAUGCUUGUGGAAGCUGGCCACCAAUCUCUCACCUAAUUGGUGUGGUAUUAUCGAGUGAUUGUGCGUUCGCCCAACAAGUUGUUGCUGCCAUCAAUGACACCCUAAAGCCACAAUACCUUCACAGACCUUCAGCUGCAGAAGUCGAAGAAAUAGUCAGAGGAUUCCAUGACGGAGCUGUGGCUGGCACUCAUAUUUGCAUCCUGGAACCACCUCACAACACAGUGGACUUCUACAAUUGCAAAUGCUUCCACUCAGUAGUCCUGCAAGGUGUUGUGGACCACAAUGAGAAGUUUUGGGAUGUCAGAAAGCAAGGAAAUGGAAAUAUAUUUUCUUAAAUUCAGUGAUAUCUUGGUAAUGAGAUGUUAAAGUGUUGAAAUAUGAAUAGAAAUCAUUUCAACGGUCCCAAAAAUUUAUUACAAGGUCAAAUUCAUUCCUCCAAUUGAUUUUCAGCAGAAAGCAGGGAAAUUGAAAUAUAUUUUGUGUUACAUCAAAUUAAUAGAUUCCUAUUGCCCCAGAUUGACUAUCAACAAGAGGACAAUGGAGCUGUUUAGCUGCAACAAUGUCCAUUUGAGCCUCAUCUUUUGACCUCCUUAUAUGCUCCCUCAGUAGGAAUAACAAGUUGAUAAACUUUUAAGUACAUUUGACAUCCCAACUAUAAAUAUUGCAGUUGAAAUUGAAUGCCUCACUAACCAUUAGGUCACUGCAAAUAAAUGGAUUUUGCAAAAUUAGAAAAUCUUUCUUAGCCCAGGUAAAACUAAAAGUAUCUUUUCUUUAAUCCAGUAUACAGGCAAAAGAGAAAAAAAACAUAUUUCUGAAUCAUGUUUCAUGUGAUAAGUUAUGAAUUACUAAACAAACAAACAAAAACAAAAAAAACCUCUGAAUUUAUAAAUAGCCUACAUGGAAUCAUUACAUUAACCAUAACCUACCUGAACACACUUGAAUGCAGGCUGCUGAGCAAAUGAUACAAGAUCUUCAAUUGUCUUGUUUUUCCAUCUCCUGGAAAGUCAUUGGCUGCUUAAUGAACUCUUUACACAUUGAGGGAGAAAAUAGGUCUCAUACAGUAACACAUAUGCUUUUCUACAUUCAAAGAAUUACAUUGUUAAUUGUAAUAAUAAUAAUAAUAAUAAUAAUAAUAAUUUCAUGUUCAAAUUGCAUUUAAACCGAGUUUAUGUACUUAGUUACUUUCCACCACUACAAAAAGCUAAACUUUCCUACUGUUGUUAUUCUACAGUUUCUCAAUGUUGUAAAAAUGAGUAAAAGAAAUAAGUCCAACUAUUGAUCCCAAUGAUCCUGUACAGAAAUGUUGUUCAUCUGCUAAUUAUACUGUUGGCUGCAAUUUUCAUGGGUGCUGCUGUCUGAAUUCAGUUUGAACAAGUACUGAAAACUGCCAACGAUUCUACAUCACAUACAUCACCACUGGAAGAACCAAACAAUAAAACAGAUCAUUUUCACAGUGUGAACAACUUCUGUUGUUCUCAACUGAAUAAUCAGAGUUUAUUAAGCUAUUUAUUAAGGCUUGUGAGAGUGUUACAAUGUCUCAUCACAUGGAACUUCAUAUACUGUGGCCUUAGUGUAGCAUUAAGGACAUUUCUCCAGGACUGUUUGUUGACAUAGAAAUGCUGCAGCUCCCAGAGGAGCACUUAUCUCACAUUUCACAUUCCACAUUCCUCUGCGUUACACAACAGAACUGUGUCUGACUGCCUCAAUGGCUCAGUGCCACACAUCACAUGCUGUCAUUAAUGUGCAAUGUCCUAGUGCUUAUUCUUUACAUUAAAACAGUGGGGGUUCAUAAUAGAAGCUUGGAAUGCAUACCGUAUACUAUCCA
Thunnus maccoyii (southern bluefin tuna) is the source of this 2243-nucleotide long non-coding RNA. RefSeq lists it as uncharacterized. The record is from RefSeq and is a predicted model, not a curated record. The transcript has 2 exons. NCBI's taxonomy places the organism in Eukaryota, Metazoa, Chordata, Actinopteri, Scombriformes, Scombridae.